UGGGGAAUUUUGGACAAUGGGCGAAAGCCUGAUCCAGCAAUGCCGCGUGUGCGAAGAAGGCCUUCGGGUUGUAAAGCACUUUUGUUUGGGAAGAAAAUGUUCGUGCUAAUACCAUGAGCAGAUGACGGUACCAAAAGAAUAAGCACCGGCUAACUACGUGCCAGCAGCCGCGGUAAUACGUAGGGUGCGAGCGUUAAUCGGAAUUACUGGGCGUAAAGCGUGCGCAGGCGGCUAUGUAAGACAGGUGUGAAAUCCCCGAGCUUAACUUGGGAACUGCAUUUGUGACUGCAUGGCUAGAGUGUGUCAGAGGGGGGUGGAAUUCCACGUGUAGCAGUGAAAUGCGUAGAUAUGUGGAGGAACACCAAUGGCGAAGGCAGCCCCCUGGGAUAACACUGACGCU
RNAcentral lists this ribosomal RNA (400 nucleotides) under uncultured bacterium. RNAcentral describes it as "bacterial SSU rRNA". It matches the Rfam family "Bacterial small subunit ribosomal RNA", at positions 355 to 747 of the family's 1533-position model. The record is from RNAcentral.